UGAACAUCACCGCGCCCGCCGACGUUGAGAACACGGACGGCGUCCACGUCGGAGGCUCCUCCAAGAUCAGCAUCCUCAACUCGACCAUCGGCACCGGCGACGACUGCGUCUCGAUUGGGCCCGGGUGCAACGGCGUCUUGGUGGACAGCAUCACCUGCGGCCCCGGGCAGGGCAUCAGCGUCGGCUGCCUAGGCCGCUACAAGGACGAGAAGGACGUGAGCGACAUCACGGUGCGGAACUGCGUGCUCAAGAACACCACCAACGGCGUGCGCAUCAAGUCGUACGUGGACGCCGAGUCCGUGCUGACGGCCUCCCAUCUCACCUUCGAGAACAUCAGGAUGGAGGAGGUGGCCAACCCCAUCGUCAUCGACCAGUACUUCUGCCCGCAGAAGGUAUGCCCUGGCAAGCGGAGCAACUCCUCGCAUGUCUCCGUCAAGGACGUCACGUUCCGCAACAUCACCGGCACGUCGUCCACGCCCGAGGCCAUCAGCCUGCUCUGCUCGGAGACGCAGCCAUGCAGCGGCGUCUCCCUCAUCGAUGUCAAC
This 545-nucleotide long non-coding RNA is filed under the name Zea mays. RNAcentral describes it as "long non-coding RNA (ZMAY_LNC004816)". The record is from RNAcentral. Lineage: Eukaryota; Viridiplantae; Streptophyta; Magnoliopsida; Poales; Poaceae.